This 583-nucleotide ribosomal RNA is filed under the name Dendropsophus triangulum (triangle treefrog). RNAcentral describes it as "partial 16S ribosomal RNA". It matches the Rfam family "Bacterial large subunit ribosomal RNA", at positions 1801 to 2597 of the family's 2925-position model. Lineage: Eukaryota; Metazoa; Chordata; Amphibia; Anura; Hylidae. The record is from RNAcentral.
UGUUNAACAAAAACAUCGCCUCUUGCACCAAUAUAAGAGGUCCAGCCUGCCCAGUGACCCAGUUCAACGGCCGCGGUAUCCUAACCGUGCGAAGGUAGCGUAAUCACUUGUUCUUUAAAUGAGGACUAGUAUGAAUGGCACCACGAAGGUUACACUGUCUCCUUUUUCUAAUCAAUGAAACUAAUCUCCCCGUGAAGAAGCGGGGAUUUAAAUAUAAGACGAGAAGACCCUAUGGAGCUUCAAACUAAAUAGUAUUGGCUUUUACCCAUUUACACCCCCGGGGCCUUAUACUAACUCUAGCCUUUUAACUAUUAGUUUUGGGUUGGGGUGACCGCGGAGCAAAAAUUAUCCUCCAUGAUGAAUAGAGCUACUCUUGAGCCAAAAGCCACAACUUUAAGCACCAAUAAACUGACAUAAAUUGACCCAAUAUUUUGAGCAACGAACCAAGUUACCCUAGGGAUAACAGCGCAAUCCAUCUCAAGAGCCCCUAUCGACAGGUGGGUUUACGACCUCGAUGUUGGAUCAGGGUAUCCCAGUGGUGCAGCCGCUACUGAAGGUUCGUUUGUUCAACGAUUAAAACCCU